RNA transcript from Drosophila hydei, 882 nucleotides. RefSeq lists it as uncharacterized. NCBI's taxonomy places the organism in Eukaryota, Metazoa, Arthropoda, Insecta, Diptera, Drosophilidae. The transcript is spliced from 6 exons. The record is from RefSeq and is a predicted model, not a curated record.
UCUGGGAGUUCACUUUUAUUCUUACGUUUGGGCUUAACACGUUUUUCUAAAAAAUUCAAAUUAUUUUUAUUUUAAAUUUUCAAAAUUAUGGAGACCUACGGAAUGGCGGCACCUAUUAAUGAUACUGCGAUUGAUUGCUACCAUCAGUAUGUCGCGCAGACUGGUUAUCGUUGCGAGCUACCUGAGGACGAUGACCAUCUGAAGGCGUACACUGACUGUCACGAGCCACCCCAUUAUAAUAGGCUACACGAUUGGUAUCCCCAAAGGUCGAGGAACUAUCAAGAUGAUUGUGCACCCUAUAGAGACUCUGGUUAUCGCUCCUCCAUUAGGAAUGAUGCGAAUAAUGGUCGAUACAGUUCCCGAAAUGGACUAUAUUCUCCUGCUGAAUUACGCAGAGGUGGAGGAGAUACGUUCAACUCGUUGCCAGGUCUGGGUAAUAAUGAUCGCUCAAUGUGGCAUCGGCGGUCGCGAGAUCGUUUUUUCUAGUUUAAACAACGUAUUUAUUUGUGGAAUUUGGAGGUCACCAUCACUCUUUGAGGCGACUGCUGGCUGCAUCUGAUUUCGCACUACUAUUCUAAAUCUUUGGAUCUUGAUGUUAAAUGUUCUUAUCUUUUUUUUGGCGAAUGAAUCUAUGGUUGAAGCGUGUAUGACAUGUAUACUGCACUGAGAAACCGUAUGAAGUAUAAAUUGACUUGUUUCGGUUAAAUGUGCAGUGGAUCAUAGGCGGGAAGCUUGGGCAACUGAUCCGAUGGAGGUGACAAUUGGAAUUGUUUCUCAUGGGCUGUCCAGGCUGCAAACGAAUUCAGCUGUUGAAUUAUUUCAAAAUUGCCAUCUGUGCAAAUCAAUGACUUGUAUUAAAAUAAUUUGAUAAGUUGACUCUGA